UCUGGAGAGGUCAUCUUAAGCUGAUUUAGUAGGAGCACAAUGAUGCAGAGAAUAGUGGUUCAGGGGAAACUAUUAUCCUGUUCUAGUAGCGUGUGUUCUGCAGAUACAAUAUAUCAAAUAUUAUUCUACAUUGACAUAUUAGUGUUUGAUGCUUGAUCAUUCACAUAGUACAAGUUGCAAAUUAACUCUCUACAGUCUACAAGGCAGUGAAAAUUGAGAUCCUGCCACAGGUUGGGAAGAGAACAAAAAUUGUAAAAUGUGAUUGUAAUACAGGUUAUAAGAUAAGAUCAUACAAAGUUUACAUAUGUGCAUAUAAAUUCAUUUAUAAGAAUGUAAGAAUAGCAUACAUAAGGGGAUCAACCAUUAACUUAUACCACUACCUAAUUAAACUUAAAUUCAAUAUCUAUAAAAAGGUCAUACACCACUCAUAAGUCAUAAAUUAAUAACUUCAACCAAAGUAGUAACAACUUUUCAACUCCAAAAAAUACAAGACAAAGAACCAAACAGCAGAAAACAAGCAAUAAGAACACCAAACAGAGGAAGCUAACAGAAAACCAAGCAAAUAUAUCUCCAAACACCAAACAAAUCAAGCUCCAGACCAAAAUUCAGUGAACCAGGCCACACCCGCCNNNNNNNNNNNNNNNNNNNNNNNNNNNNNNNNNNAGGAACCAGAGGCAGAAUGAAUAUCACGGCACUAGAGGUGAUUGGAAACACCAGAGCUGUGAAGAUGAUAAACACAUGCAUAGAAGAGGAAUGAUUGAUAAGGUUGGGUUCAAAAUGAAAUAAAUGCUCAAAAUAGGGUCAUAAGGGUGGGUUCAAAGGCCAAUGGACUUAGGCACGGGAAAAGUUCAGUUCAGGGACAAAACUGAAGCUGAACCUGAACCAAAUCGAACUGCUUUUCAGUUCAAUAAAUGUAAACCGGUUGGUUUUUUGAACCAGUUUAGUUUAUAACACCCCAUUUUAAGUAGAAAAAGUUUAAAAAUAAUUUUCUCAAUGCGGAAACCAUUAUUGAAAAUAAACUUUAAAUUCACUAAAAAUUAUUUGAUAGCAUACUUAGCCACUCAAAUAUACUUUACAAUUGAAGCAUUAAACUUAAAAUCAAACUUUGUUAACAUUUUACAAACCAAUACACUUUUGAAAAUGGCACCAUAAACAUAAACAUGAAAUCCUAAAAUCUAUAGACUCAAUUGUGAUCCGGCUUCGACUUGACAUAUUGAAUAUUUAAAAAUGAUACCUGAAAAAAUAAACAUCCCGUGGGGUGAGAUAUAAAAAUCUCAGUGAAUUCCUGGACACGGAAAAACUACCUUACCUCUUUACCUUCAUUACUUGGGAUUCUAACUUAAUUCUAAUUGAACUUAAUUUUAAAGAAAAAUUUGCAACUUAUUUUCUGCAAUCACCAUAUUUUUCUAAGUCUCCGAGUCCGAAUGUGAGAAUAAUCUGAAGGCUUAAACAUAACUGACAAGUAACUUAAGGAAUCGUGACCAAUCCCGUCACCAUAACAUGUCAGUCAACCUCAAAAGUCUUUUGGUAAGACGGAGAUAGAUUAGCUCCGUAAACGGUGCCCAGUUUACCCUCACUUACACAUCCCAUCUUUUAUAAACGGAGAAUCCACUUAGCUAGAGUUGAUCAUAAUAUCCUCACUUUCAUCUAUAUGUACAUACAUAAAUAUAACAUACAUAUACAUAUAUCGUCAACAUUUCGUAUAGGCAACUUCAAUUUAUGGAAAAGACAAGAUACAAGGUACAAUGAAGUUGUGGUGUGCUAAAGAUAUCAAAACAAUACACAGGUUACAAAAAUACAAUAAAGACAGUACAGCAGAAAACCUCAACUUGUAACUUGAUUUUCUCUAUCAAUUAUCAAUGAAAUUUAGUGAAACCAGUGCCUAUCUCGAAGGUAAUUCAGUCUUCUUUCCAAUGACACAGAAAUCAGUUAAAUACAAGCAGUGUACAACCAGAUAUAGCUAAACUACCACAGCAACAUCAGUGCAGAAUUUAAAUCAAUAACUGAAAAUUAGGGUUCAUUUUUCUCACUUAAAACUUAACUAAAUUGAGUCAUUCCAAAGUCCAUUUGAUGUUAAAUUUAGUCAAGAUUCCAAAAUGUUAACAAUCAUUUAAAAAUGAGGUCUAUAGAAAAAGAUGUGAAUAAAAUACCAAAUCUGGGUUGAUACGAAUUUAGGCAAAAUCACUGAAAUUCUUCAUCAAACAUCUCAUGUGCAUAAUAAUACAUUAACAAUGGUGCACAUUUUUCAUGCAUAUGGUUCAGCCAACCAAUCAAAAAUCAAUUUUCUCACUCAAUAUCAUACCCAAAUCAUGAAAACCUAAAUUAUAACCAAAAUCCCCAAAUUUAACUAAACCCUACUCAUGCAUGAGGGACGAGGGAAGGGAACCCACCUUAAUGGAUGAUCUUGAACCCUAGGAGGAGAAGGUGAAGAUGAUAGUGAUGAUCAUGAAUGGUAUUGCUGGCACAAGCUCCCUUCAUCUUCUCUCUUCUUAUUUCUCUUCUUUCUUUUGUUUCUCACGCUCUCUCUAUUUCUUUCUCUAUUCUGAAUUAUUUUCUUCUAAUGUUAAGUGAAAGUUUUAUCUAGUGUGUGGAUUCGGGCUUAAUGGAUGUUAUCUACUAGGUGUACUCCCUAUUCUCCCUUACACCUCUUCUAAAUUUCUUAAUUCAAAGCUUAAGUCAUGCUACUCAAGUGAAACUAAAACCUCGAUCCUAAGGGAUGAACUAAGGUAUUCUAUUCAAUAAUAAUAAUAAUUCCUAAUAAAAAUAUAUAUUGAGCAGAAAAUGUGGGAUGUUACACAGUUCACAGGUUUAUCCCUUAUGUUUAAAGAUUGUGAUCAGUGGCGGAAUUAGGAAAAAAAAAUCAGGUGAACCACUUUAUUUUUCUGCUAAAUUUGGGUGAACCGCAUGUAUAUAUAAGAAAUCAACGACAAUUAAUUAACUAAAUUCAUAUUCAACAACAAACAAGAACGAUCACACACAAUCAACAAAAGCAAGAAAGAAAAAAACAAUCAAGGCCAAGAGCACUACAAACAUGAUGAUCACACUCACAUACUCUCAAUUUUUACAAACAAUGUGUUUGUUUAUAGUUGAUGACAAAAUAAUGUGUUUGUUUCUUGUUUACAAAGAGAAAAUAUUAAAUUAACAAGGCACAGGGUUUGCCACAAUUACAAAAUCCAAGAUAUAAUCCACCCCCUUACACAAACCAAAGAAUACCAUAUAUCAGAGCCCCUCACCCACAACUCACCAUUACGAUUCCACCCCUGAACCUAUACACCAGAAACACAACCCAGCUGCUAACAUUAAGAUACUUUACAUAAAAUUUAUGAUUUUCUUUUACUAUAAAACAACACAAGGGGAACUUGUUAAAUAUUUCAUAGGUAUACUUGAGUUUGUGGAGACUUAGGUUGUAUUUUUUUUUUUGGUAUUAACCCUCUGGUUCCCGGGGAAAGGGGGCCCGGUACUCUAGAGUUCCGCCGCGAGACAAGUAAAGUCUGGUUAAGAAAUUGUUCCCACCAGGAAUCGAACUCGGGUUCUCCCGGACGAUUCGUCCUAGGGUAGCUCACUAACUACUUGAGCCCAAUGUGCAAUCAGCAAUCACUCAUUCAAAACCAACAAUCAGCAAUGUGCAAUCACUCAUUCAAUAAAAAUAAAAAACAAAACUUUCAUUAACAUGAAAGUUAGAGAGAUUGAGAGAGAGAGAGAGAGAGAGAGAGAGAGAGAGAGGUUACCUUUUUAAAAAACAGAGAGCGGUUUCAUCUCAAUCGGUUACCUUUUCUCUGAUUAAGCUUUAAACAGUGUUAUUGUCUUCAUCUCAAUCGGUUUCAACUUUCAACAAUUUUUUUUUUCUUCUUUCAACUCAACUCGGAAGGGCUUUUGAUCAUUGUCAAUAGAGAGCGGUGUGGGUUGAUGGUGGUUUACUACCACUAGUAAUAGCGGCGCACCGGUGGACAGUGCGACAGCAGGAACUUUUCUGGGUUUUUGACGAAAGGAACUUUUAUGGGUUGUUUUGAUUAAAACUGGCCCAAAGGCUGCUGCCUUUCCCGCUAAAAAGUCACUCAAUCC
RNAcentral lists this long non-coding RNA (4062 nucleotides) under Trifolium pratense (red clover). RNAcentral describes it as "long non-coding RNA (TPRA_LNC004396)". Lineage: Eukaryota; Viridiplantae; Streptophyta; Magnoliopsida; Fabales; Fabaceae. The record is from RNAcentral.